CCUGGCUCCAUUCCGAACCCAGAAGCUAAGACUCUUCGCGCCGAUGGUACUGCACUUUUGUGGGUGUGGGAGAGUAGGUCGUUGCCGGUU
Molecule: ribosomal RNA, 90 nt
Filed under: Rothia mucilaginosa
Lineage: Bacteria; Bacillati; Actinomycetota; Actinomycetes; Micrococcales; Micrococcaceae
Source: RNAcentral